AGAGUUUGAUCAUGGCUCAGGAUGAACGCUGGCGGCGUGCCUAAUACAUGCAAGUCGAACGAGGUGCUUUUGUAGCAAUACGAGAGUAUCCUAGUGGCGAACGGGUGAGUAACGCGUUGGUGACCUACCCCAAAGUGUGGGAUAACAGUCCGAAAGGAUUGCUAAUACCGCAUGUGGUCAUUGGAUUUAGAAACCGAUGUCUAAAGGAGCAAUUCGCUUUGGGAGGGACCUGCGUCCCAUCAGCUAGUUGGUGAGGUAACGGCUCACCAAGGCGACGACGGGUAGGGGACCUGAGAGGGUGACCCCCCACAAUGGAACUGAAACACGGUCCAUACACCUACGGGUGGCAGCAGUAGGGAAUAUUGCUCAAUGGGCGAAAGCCUGAAGCAGCAACGCCGCGUGUGUGAUGAAGGCCUUCGGGUCGUAAAGCACUUUUCUGGGAGAUGAGAAAGGACAGUAUCCCAGGAAUAAGUCUCGGCUAACUACGUGCCAGCCGCCGCGGUAAUAC
RNAcentral lists this ribosomal RNA (508 nucleotides) under uncultured bacterium. RNAcentral describes it as "bacterial SSU rRNA". It matches the Rfam family "Bacterial small subunit ribosomal RNA", at positions 8 to 526 of the family's 1533-position model. The record is from RNAcentral.